Columba livia (rock pigeon) is the source of this 4943-nucleotide RNA transcript. It is a transcript of the gene named mucolipin TRP cation channel 3, with no coding region annotated. The record is from RefSeq and is a predicted model, not a curated record. Lineage: Eukaryota; Metazoa; Chordata; Aves; Columbiformes; Columbidae. The transcript has 13 exons.
CAUACAUUGUCAGGAAUAUCGCAGCAUCAGGGUAUUGCUUAACUUAGAAAUGAUUGAUCAACUGCAAGAAAGAUGAGUGGAAACUGUGACAUACUGUAUCCUGCAAUGGAGACCUGAUAAAACAGGAGCUGAUUUUUUAAGCCUAUUUAUGGGCCGAUUCUUAGUGCUAAACUUCUGAUUCAACUGGGGAAAUUGAAGGUCUUGAAUUAUAUUUAAAAACAGACUUGUGUUCUGAUGUGUGCAAUGGCUGCUUGAGGAGAGUGGAUGUGAUUUAUGCACUUUUAAAAAUCAAUAUUAGUGAUGAUUUUUUUUUUGUUUGUGCUGUAUGAUAAACUUUUCUUAUGCAAAUUAAAAAUAAUUCAUCUAAUAUGGCACAUCUUUAAAUUUAUUCAGAACCUAGGCUGUUUCACCUGUUCUUAAUGUUAACAAUCUUUUAUCUGAAACACAUAUUCCUGGAUACCUCUUAAGUACUUUAUGAAGCAUUUACAAAAUGUUUGCAAAUCAGUGAAGUUAGUAACAGAUUAAUGUUUAAACAUGUUGAAUACUGUAGAGAAUAAUGUCUCAAACUGUGUUUAUAAGGUUCUCUUCUAAAUGUGAGCCUCUUUGGCUAAUGAUGCUUGAAUACAAUUACCUUUUGCUUUUCUUUUUUCUUUUUUUCUGGUUUACGAUUGCCAUUGGUUUGCAUUCAGUCUUUCAUGGCUGAAAAAAAUAGAUACAGUAUUGCUAAAUGUCAAGUUAAUGUGCUUAGGUAAUUGAUCUGAAUUGCAGUUUGGCAUGCUGGGUCUCUAUUUCUAAGAGCAACCAAUGCUAAUAGUGAUGUCUAAGAAAAAUGUUAUCUGCCUUAAAAAUUGUAUUUCUUCCAAGGACUGGACAGCAGGCUGACAGCAGGGGAAAAUACUAGCUACAGAAGUAGAUAAGUUUUCCAGAAGAGUGAGUGCUCAUGAGAGGCUUUUGUUUUUCUUCUGGACACAAAAGGAAAUGAGUCAGGAUGUCUUGCAUGUAUAGUGUUAUGGGCAAGUGAGAGAGGAAGAAGUUUUCAGCAAGUGACUCCAUAAUUCCAGAGAGACAGAAAUUCUACUAUUAAAUAAAUGUUCUGAUAGCCUGUCUACAAAUUUAAGAGCUUGCCCAAACUUUUCUUUGGGUUCUGCAGAACAUGUGUGAUAUUCUGAGGAAAGGAUUAAAUUCAGUGUAAUGUGCAAGUGCCUUUCAAAGAAGACAAACAUAUUUGGAGUCCAGGUUGCCAGUGCAAACUGAUCUGAUGCUGCUGUAUUCAUGCUUGCAUGUUUUCCAGCUGACAAGGACUUCAUUUCAGAAAUGGAAAAUCCUGAAUUGUCUGUGAGCAGCUGCAGCACUCACGAUGAUGGAAGUCUUUGCAGCUACAAACGACACCCAUCAGUAUGCCAGGAGGGGCUUCUAGAAGAUCAGCUUAGAAGGAAAUUAAAAUUCUUCUUCAUGAACCCAUGUGAGAAAUUCUGGGCCCGGGGCAGGAAACCUUGGAAACUUGGGAUUCAGCUACUCAAAAUAGCAAUGGUUACUGUUCAGCUGGUGAUUUUUGGAUUAACCAAUCAAAUGGUGGUUGCCUUCAAAGAAGAGAACACUGUCGCAUUCAAACAUCUCUUCCUGAAAGGAUACAUGGACAGAAUGGAUGAUACCUAUGCUGUAUACACACAAACAGAUGUUUAUGACCAGAUAUUCUUUGCAAUAAACCAGUACUUACAGCUGCCCAACAUCUCUGUUGGAAACCAUGCUUAUGAGAAGAGGGGAGCAGAAGAAACAGCUCUGGCUGUGUGUCAGCAGUUCUACAAGCGAGGAACCAUCUGUCCUGGAAAUGACACCUUUGAUAUAGACCCAGAGAUUGUGACUGACUGCUUGUAUAUUGAGCCAAUGAUGCCAUCAGACAACACAACGGUGGGAAAGCACAAUUUGAAUUUCACUCUGGAUUUCCACAGACUGGUGGCGGUGCAGCUCAUGUUCAAUCUGAAGGCAAUCAACCUCCAGACCGUUCGUCACCAUGAGCUCCCCGACUGUUACGAUUUCACUCUGACGAUAGUGUUUGAUAAUAAAGCACAUAGUGGAAGAAUUAAAAUAAGUCUAGACAACAAUAUAGCGAUCAGGGAAUGUAAAGACUGGCAUGUUUCUGGAUCAAUACAGAAGAACACUCAUUACAUGAUGAUCUUUGAUGCUUUUGUUAUAUUGACUUGUGUGGCCUCAUUGAUCCUUUGCACACGAUCAGUGGUUAAAGGAAUUUGGCUCCAAAGGGAAUUUGUAAGGUUUUUCCUAUAUUAUUAUAAGAAAGAAGUAUCUUUCAGUGAUCAAAUGGAAUUUGUCAACGGAUGGUACAUCCUGAUUGUCAUCAGCGAUGUCUUAACUAUUGUGGGAUCAACUCUGAAGAUGGAGAUACAAGCCAAGAGUCUGACAAGUUAUGAUGUCUGUAGCAUACUCCUAGGGACAUCCACUAUGCUUGUGUGGCUUGGAGUCAUUCGCUACCUAGGUUUCUUUCAGAAGUAUAAUGUAAGGAUCUCCUGGAAUCUUCGUGCUGUUGCUUCUCAUCCUAACACUGCGAGCAGCAUUACCCAAUGUGAUGAGGUUCUGCUGUUGCGCUGCUAUGAUCUACCUGGGCUAUUGUUUCUGUGGAUGGAUUGUACUGGGACCAUACCAUGUGAAGUUUCGCUCUCUGAACAUGGUUUCCGAAUGCCUUUUUUCAUUGAUCAAUGGAGAUGACAUGUUUGCCACCUUUGCAAAAAUGCAGCAGAAAAGUUACCUGGUUUGGUUAUUCAGUAGAAUCUACCUCUACUCCUUCAUCAGUCUGUUCAUCUAUAUGGUGCUGAGUCUCUUCAUUGCACUCAUUACAGAUACAUAUGAGACUGUCAAGCACUACCAGCAAGAUGGCUUUCCAGAGACAGAACUUCAGAAAUUUAUAUCACAGUGCAAAGACUUGCCAAACUCCGGCAGGUACAGGUUAGAGGAAGAAAGCUCAGCAUCUCUCUUCUGUUGUUGUAAUGGUUGUAGUGAACAUACUUAAUGCAUUGUGGAAGUGUAUCAUGGAGGCUUUAAAGCAGCACACAUUGCAAGAACGGGACAGUACAGCUGGUGGAAAACCUUAUACCUAAAGCCUGAAUUUGCUUUUCUUGAAAAACAGUGUAAGCCUGUGGCAAGAAGCUUAUCAUGAAUUUACAGUCUUUCUGAUUAGGUGCUCUCACUGCUAGUUCAGGGGCUUUGGGGGUUUGUUUUUUUAUUAGCUUUGUUCUAUUUUUUUUCCUCAGUUAAAUUGUGCUAGAAUUAAAAGGGCAAUUAAAACCUGUCUGUGUUCAGAGACUUGGCUAGACUAUGCAAGUAGACUAGAAAUGCAGUCACUUUCACCUAUAAGUAGAAAUAAUGCUGGACAAUGGCAACUUUGAACACCAACGUAACCCUCAGUACUGCAGGCACUAUUGAGCUCUGCUGACCCAUGACUGAGUGAACGAAAGCUCCCUCUAGAGCACUCCACAUUUUUUUGUUAGUUUAUUUUUACUAUGAGUGCAGACAAAAAUUAUUAAAUUGGGUGUAAUUUGUUUCUGGAGACAUCACAAUGAGUUGAUGCACAAGCCAUUCAAAUGUGGCUGAAAGCAUAAACUAAGUAUUUCUGUCAACGUAAGUACCACUUGAUGUAAGUGGAAGUCUUUUCUCAGAAAGGCCAGGGAUAUGCCAGGCCAGAACUGAAGUUUGACGGACGAGCUAAGUGGAGAAAUGCAGGUGUUCUCCUAUAUCCAGCGCUGAAUAGGAUCAGUUACAGUUUUCAGCCUCACAGUUUGCUGACUUUAUGUUUUUAAAGGAGAAGUCAGACAAAAGCACUUUCAAAAUAUCUAUUUUUUUAUUUGAAUUCCUCCUCUGUAUGUGUCUGUAAACCUGUGUUGACAGUCUGAUUGCGGGGUGACAAUAAAUACAUCUGUGGCAGAUGUAUUGUUAACCCCCUCUUCCCCCCUUCCCCUGUCAGUGCCUCCCUCUCCCCCCUUCCCACUAAGGACAGGCAAUCAGGAGGGAAAGAAGGAUGGAGAGAAGAGAGUUGGAAAAAUUAACAAUGUUUUACUAAUGCUACUAAUAAGAAUAGAGAAAAUAAUACAAAAUAUACAAAACCAAUAAUGAAAGUCCCAGCAACUGCAGAGCCGGCACCCAAAGUCCUGGACUGGACUCUGCAGCCAACCAGAGCUGCAUUCGGUCUCUCACUAGGCCUCAGUUCGCAGGGAUGACUAGCAAGGUCCUCUCCUAAUGUCGGCCAUAAGGAAGAGGGAUGAGAUCCUCGUGAUCUCCCACUUUUAUAUGAAGUAUUCAAGUGAAUGGGAUGUUAUACACAACUGGUCAGUUUCUUGGUCACCUGUUUCUCGUUGCCCCUUUCACAAGAGGUGCAUCCAUGCUUAUUGAUAACUUCGCAUUCCAUUGCUAGGUUUACCAAAACAUGUGUCUGGUUCUCCAGGAAAAUGCAGCUAAUAUGAAAGCUUUAGCUGACAGGCAAAUUCACUAAAAGAGAAACUUGUUUUUAACAAAACCAGGACAACCUAAAAUCUAAACAAAGUUAAACACACGUAAGAUAUGUCUCUGAGAGUCAUAUCUCUCCAUGCUUUAUGAACUGGAUGUUUCCUACCAGCCUAAUAACCAGGUAGUGCCCGUGCCUGUUUGAAACAUUAGAUAUUAUAAAAGUUCGAUUUUUUUCAACUUAGUUUAUAUACUUUGUUGGUUGUGAUACUGUUUAAUGGAUGUCUUAGUUUCUAUAGCCUAUUCACUCUGAGACUGGAAUAGAAAACUGAAGGGAAGCAUAUUUUAGAUAAUUUGCAUUUGUGAGCAGCAUUCCUGUAGCUGUGCAUGACAAUGCAUAAUGCUGUGCACCAAGGUGGAGGACACUAAACAUGUUCUGUCUGAAUGUUUACACUUUGUAAAUGUGCUACAAUAAACACUUCCAGCUGCAGUAA